CCAAUAGCGUAUAUUAAAGUUGUUGCAGUUAAAAAGCUCGUAGUUGAAUUUCGGGAUUCGUCCAUUGGUCAGGCUUAACUGUCUGUACUGGUGUGUCGGAUUUCUACCUUCUGAAGAACCUUCAUGCCAUUAAUUUGGUGUGUUGGGGAAUCAGGACUGUUACUUUGAAAAAAUUAGAGUGUUUAAAGCAGGCUAACGUCUGAAUACAUUAGCAUGGAAUAAUGAAAUAGGACGGUACGGUUCUAUUUUGUUGGUUUCUAGGAUCGCCGUAAUUAUUAAUAGGGAUAGUUGGUGGCAUUAGUAUUCAAUUGUCAGAGGUGGAAUUCUUGGAUUUAUUGAAGACUAACUACUGCGAAAGCAUUUGCCAAGGAUGUUUUCAUUAAUCAAGAACGAAAGUUAGGGGAUCGAAGACGAUCAGAUACCGUCGUAGUCUUAACCAUAAACUAUGCCGACUAGGGAUUGGACGAUGUUAAUUUUUUAAUGACUCGUUCAGCACCUUACG
This 502-nucleotide ribosomal RNA is filed under the name uncultured Glomeromycotina. RNAcentral's name for it is "partial small subunit ribosomal RNA". It matches the Rfam family "Eukaryotic small subunit ribosomal RNA", at positions 591 to 1092 of the family's 1831-position model. Lineage: Eukaryota; Fungi; Glomeromycota. The record is from RNAcentral.